UACGAGAGGUGCUAGCGUUAUUCGGAAUUAUUGGGCGUAAAGGGCGCGUAGGCGGUUUAUUAAGUUUGUUGUUAAAGCCUCUGGCUUAACCAGAGAAGAGCGAUAAAAACUGAUAAACUAGAGGGUGAGAGAGAGAAGUGGAAUUCCCGGAGUAGCGGUAAAAUGCGUAGAUCUCGGGAGGAACACCAAUGGCGAAGGCUGCUUCUUGGCUCACAACUGACGCUGAGGCGCGAAAGCGUGGGGAGCAAAC
RNAcentral lists this ribosomal RNA (250 nucleotides) under uncultured bacterium. RNAcentral describes it as "partial 16S ribosomal RNA". It matches the Rfam family "Bacterial small subunit ribosomal RNA", at positions 524 to 773 of the family's 1533-position model. The record is from RNAcentral.